This is a long non-coding RNA of Melospiza melodia melodia, 540 nucleotides long. RefSeq lists it as uncharacterized. The record is from RefSeq and is a predicted model, not a curated record. The transcript has 3 exons. Lineage: Eukaryota; Metazoa; Chordata; Aves; Passeriformes; Passerellidae.
AACAGCCAGUGGUGACAGCUGCAACCAGCUCUGAGACAGACCAGCACUGCCUGCAGUAAGAUGCCUCUGCAGGGCUGAGCAGAUUCUCCUCCCAUUUUCCUCAAAACAACCCCUGCUAUGGACCUGGCCCAGGACCCUCUUCCUGGAAAGGCUGCUGUCCCCCUUCUCUCCUGGUUAUAAGUAACCAAAAAACCCAAAUAAAUCUUUGCUACAUUGGAAACACUUUGGGUUUACAUCUCACCUCCAGUCUGAGAAGAUGUUUCACUGACUUCUCUAAGAUACUCCAGCAAACCAUCAAAUAUUUCAAGGAGGUUUUUGAUAGACUCCCUGUCUCCUUUCACAAUGUUCUCACCUGAAGAGAAGUGUAUAACCUGAUGUCCAAGGCAGUGGGUCAAUGUUCUGGUGACAUCCAUACCAUAAGAAGAGAUUCCAUGCAAGUCUGAGAGCAAGCUGUGUAACACCUGGUUCCUAAAGUGUUUAAAUCAAACCACACAAAUGUUCAACUGCAUUUGUCUCAUUAAACCAAGUACUUACCUGUGA